GAUGAACGCUAGCUACAGGCUUAACACAUGCAAGUCGAGGGGAAACGACAUCGAAAGCUUGCUUUUGAUGGGCGUCGACCGGCGCACGGGUGAGUAACGCGUAUCCAACCUGCCCACCACUUGGGGAUAACCUUGCGAAAGUAAGACUAAUACCCAAUGAUAUCUCUAGAAGACAUCUGAAAGUGAUUAAAGAUUUAUCGGUGAUGGAUGGGGAUGCGUCUGAUUAGCUUGUUGGCGGGGUAACGGCCCACCAAGGCUACGAUCAGUAGGGGUUCUGAGAGGAAGGUCCCCCACAUUGGAACUGAGAUACGGUCCAAACUCCUACGGGAGGCAGCAGUGAGGAAUAUUGGUCAAUGGACGAGAGUCUGAACCAGCCAAGUAGCGUGCAGGAUGACGGCCCUAUGGGUUGUAAACUGCUUUUAUAAGGGAAUAAAGUGAGUCUCGUGAGACUUUUUGCAUGUACCUUAUGAAUAAGGACCGGCUAAUUCCGUGCCAGCAGCCGCCGUAA
This 508-nucleotide ribosomal RNA is filed under the name uncultured bacterium. RNAcentral's name for it is "partial 16S ribosomal RNA". It matches the Rfam family "Bacterial small subunit ribosomal RNA", at positions 28 to 523 of the family's 1533-position model. The record is from RNAcentral.